RNAcentral lists this ribosomal RNA (671 nucleotides) under Enterobacter sp. 6hN43. RNAcentral describes it as "bacterial SSU rRNA". It matches the Rfam family "Bacterial small subunit ribosomal RNA", at positions 68 to 730 of the family's 1533-position model. The record is from RNAcentral. Lineage: Bacteria; Pseudomonadati; Pseudomonadota; Gammaproteobacteria; Enterobacterales; Enterobacteriaceae.
GGUAGCACAGAGAGCUUGCUCUCGGGUGACGAGCGGCGGACGGGUGAGUAAUGUCUGGGAAACUGCCUGAUGGAGGGGGAUAACUACUGGAAACGGUAGCUAAUACCGCAUAACGUCGCAAGACCAAAGAGGGGGACCUUCGGGCCUCUUGCCAUCAGAUGUGCCCAGAUGGGAUUAGCUAGUAGGUGGGGUAACGGCUCACCUAGGCGACGAUCCCUAGCUGGUCUGAGAGGAUGACCAGCCACACUGGAACUGAGACACGGUCCAGACUCCUACGGGAGGCAGCAGUGGGGAAUAUUGCACAAUGGGCGCAAGCCUGAUGCAGCCAUGCCGCGUGUAUGAAGAAGGCCUUCGGGUUGUAAAGUACUUUCAGCGAGGAGGAAGGCAUUAUGGUUAAUAACCUUAGUGAUUGACGUUACUCGCAGAAGAAGCACCGGCUAACUCCGUGCCAGCAGCCGCGGUAAUACGGAGGGUGCAAGCGUUAAUCGGAAUUACUGGGCGUAAAGCGCACGCAGGCGGUCUGUCAAGUCGGAUGUGAAAUCCCCGGGCUCAACCUGGGAACUGCAUUCGAAACUGGCAGGCUAGAGUCUUGUAGAGGGGGGUAGAAUUCCAGGUGUAGCGGUGAAAUGCGUAGAGAUCUGGAGGAAUACCGGUGGCGAAGGCGGCCCCCU